This 774-nucleotide ribosomal RNA is filed under the name uncultured Neocallimastigales. RNAcentral's name for it is "partial large subunit ribosomal RNA". It matches the Rfam family "Eukaryotic large subunit ribosomal RNA", at positions 24 to 635 of the family's 3401-position model. The record is from RNAcentral. Lineage: Eukaryota; Fungi; Neocallimastigomycota; Neocallimastigomycetes; Neocallimastigales.
UAUCUCUGUAGAGUCUGCAUAUCAAUAAGCGGAGGAAAAGAAACUAACUAGGAUUCCCUCAGUAACGGCGAGUGAAGCGGGAAGAGCUCAAAUUUGAAAUCUUCAAGGUUCUACCUUGACGAAUUGUAGUUUAAAGAAGUGUUUUCUGUUGGAGUUUUGGUAAAAGUUCUUUGGAAUAGGACAUCAUAGAGGGUGAGAAUCCCGUAUUUGACCAUUAUUUCCAGCUUUGUGAUACACUUUCAAAGAGUCGGAUUGUUUGGGAAUGCAGUCCAAAAUGGGUGGUAAAUUUCAUCUAAAGCUAAAUACUGGCGAGAGACCGAUAGCGAACAAGUACCGUGAGGGAAAGAUGAAAAGAACUUUGAAAAGAGAGUUAAACAGUACGUGAAAUUGUCAAAAGGGAAGCGUUUGACACCAGUGUUGUUUUCUCGAAAAUCAAUUAAAAAAGGCAGGAUUUUGUGUUGUAUUGACUUUAUCAGCUUUCUGCACUCUUUUCUUGUCUUUUUUAAUGCACUUUUCGUUUAACAAGUCAACAUCAAUUUCUUUUGUUGUAAAAGGGUCAUUGGAAGGUGGCUUUCUUUUCGGAGAAAGUGUUUAUAGCCUUUGGCCUCUGCAAUCGGAGAGAUUGAGGUCUGCAGCGUAGAUCCUUCGGGGCUAGAUACGUAGAUGCUAAGUUAUAGUUUUUUAUAGACAACUUGUUGACUAUAAUUAAUCAUGUAGCUUACUCGUUUGCGCUAUUUUACCUACGCUUAGGAUGUUGAAGAUGUAGCACAUCAU